Long non-coding RNA from Pezoporus occidentalis (night parrot), 688 nucleotides. RefSeq lists it as uncharacterized. The transcript has 3 exons. NCBI's taxonomy places the organism in Eukaryota, Metazoa, Chordata, Aves, Psittaciformes, Psittacidae. The record is from RefSeq and is a predicted model, not a curated record.
GCAACAAGGUAAUUAAUUGCCAUGCCUUGGAGUCUGCAGCCUCAGCGCGCAGGAAGACCAUCAUCGAUGAGUGGGAUGAGGAGUUUGACAGAGGGGAGGUGAAGAAGGUUAAAAAGCGGAGGAGGGAGCAGAGACACCAGAACCCCUGGCAGUGGCUGCACCGCCAGCACAGCUUCUGGGCAGUGACGCAUGCGGCCAAGGCAGCGAGCCUGCGCCACCGGCUCUGAGCCGGAAUGCCAGUGAGCGGGAGGAGAGGCCCCUGCCAUGGAGCCCUGUCCUGGGAGCUGCUGUGGAGGGAAGAGGACACCGCUGCCCACAUCUCCACGCUCGAUGUCCCUGCCUUCUGCUGUGAAGGAGCCCAGGAGGACCGUGCCUUGUCCGGGCUCCUUCAGCAGCUUCCCUGCGCCUAGGCCUGGAGUAGCCCUUUCUCCCCCCAGGCCUGGAGCCCGGCUCAGGGGGGCUCCUGCCAAGUGCCUCAGGACCAUUGCUGCUGCUCCAGCCCCAUGACCCCGGCUGCGCUCCGCACCUGGGGCUGCUCCUCUCCCUCGUGCCCCCCCCUUUCCCUCCUCACCACGUUGGAGUCACCGUUAACACCAUCCCCUCCACCGGCCCUUCCUGUGCUGCGCAUGGGGGUUGGCGCCUUGCGGGGACGGGGUGGCCGUGGCCACCAAUAAAGAUGUGUUGGUGA